UGUGCCUACGGGGCGCAGCAGUGGGGAAUAUUGCACAAUGGGCGCAAGCCUGAUGCAGCCAUGCCGCGUGUAUGAAGAAGGCCUUCGGGUUGUAAAGUACUUCCAGCGGGGAGGAAGGGAGUAAAGUUAAUACCUUUGCUCAUUGACGUUACCCGCAGAAGAAGCACCGGCUAACUCCGUGCCAGCAGCCGCGGUAAUACGUAGGGUGCAAGCGUUAAUCGGAAUUACUGGGCGUAAAGCGCACGCAGGCGGUUUGUUCAGUC
RNAcentral lists this ribosomal RNA (263 nucleotides) under uncultured bacterium. Its description in RNAcentral is "partial 16S ribosomal RNA". It matches the Rfam family "Bacterial small subunit ribosomal RNA", at positions 333 to 589 of the family's 1533-position model. The record is from RNAcentral.